UUUCCAGAGAUUUGGCUGUUAUUUCUAGCACGUGGAGAUAUCUUCUAGGCUUAACUUCAUGCGCUGGUUGAAAAUCAUUAAAGUCAUUGAAGAAU
Long non-coding RNA from Octopus sinensis (East Asian common octopus), 95 nucleotides. RefSeq lists it as uncharacterized. The record is from RefSeq and is a predicted model, not a curated record. The transcript is spliced from 3 exons. NCBI's taxonomy places the organism in Eukaryota, Metazoa, Mollusca, Cephalopoda, Octopoda, Octopodidae.